CGCGGGAGUAGCUCAGUUGGUAGAGCGCAACCUUGCCAAGGUUGAGGUCGCGAGUUCGAGACUCGUCUCCCGCUCC
This 76-nucleotide transfer RNA is filed under the name Cupriavidus taiwanensis LMG 19424. Its description in RNAcentral is "tRNA-Gly". It matches the Rfam family "tRNA". From Rfam's summary of the family: Transfer RNA (tRNA) molecules are approximately 80 nucleotides in length. Their secondary structure includes four short double-helical elements and three loops (D, anti-codon, and T loops). Further hydrogen bonds mediate the characteristic L-shaped molecular structure. tRNAs have two regions of fundamental functional importance: the anti-codon, which is responsible for specific mRNA codon recognition, and the 3' end, to which the tRNAs corresponding amino acid is attached (by aminoacyl-tRNA synthetases). tRNAs cope with the degeneracy of the genetic code in two manners: having more than one tRNA (with a specific anti-codon) for a particular amino acid; and 'wobble' base-pairing, i.e. permitting non-standard base-pairing at the 3rd anti-codon position. The record is from RNAcentral. Lineage: Bacteria; Pseudomonadati; Pseudomonadota; Betaproteobacteria; Burkholderiales; Burkholderiaceae.